Xenopus laevis (African clawed frog) is the source of this 2235-nucleotide long non-coding RNA. RefSeq lists it as uncharacterized. NCBI's taxonomy places the organism in Eukaryota, Metazoa, Chordata, Amphibia, Anura, Pipidae. The transcript has 3 exons. The record is from RefSeq and is a predicted model, not a curated record.
UACUACACAAACAGCAGCCCGCAACUGACAGUUGUGACAAAUUUGGAUAGACUGUGUAAUGGGCGUUGCCAGGCAGUAAUCUUGGAGCCGAAGGUCAAAGCGAUUUAAUAAAGGCAGAGCGAGUGAAGAAAAAGCGCAGAGGGAGUCGGCAGCCGCUAACAUUGCGGUCAAUGGAUAAUGGGAGAAUUCAGUACCUUGGACAGAGCACAUAGCGCGCGGGGCUGCAGGUGACAGGACUGUAUCGCAAUGGGGGCAGCGCUGUUCUUCUGAUCACCUUGCACAUCGCUCCUUCCGCUAAUUAGCGCUCACUGGCGCAGUCUGAGCCAUGGAACAAAGCCGCCAGCCCCAAUCACAUGCUCUUAUUUCUGAUUAACCCUAUGCCUCCCGGGUCCGCGCUGCCAGGCUGAAUGGAAAAUCAGUUUUCAGGAAGGGGCAGAUCUCCCAGUAUUUCUUACAUUAUUGGACAAGCCCCGAUGCUGGGGGAGGGGAGGCAGCAGCAGCAGCAGGACCACUUGGCCGUGUUUGUGCCUUUGCUACAUACAGAAGAGGAAGAGGAUUCACUGACCUCCCAGUAUAAUUGUAUUGCUGCAGCACAGCUCCCCUGGGAAACGCUAAAAUCCAUUUAAUAUCAUCCUCAGGACAAGCUGCCCUUGCUCUGGAUCUCUUUUCAACCAGCAUAUUUUAUAUGUGUUUGAUGGGGGAUUGAUCGGAUGACAGCUGGAACUGUAGUCAUCACAGGAGGAAUCCUAGCGACCGUCAUACUUCUGUGUAUAAUUGGGGUUCUUUGCUACUGCAGACUUCAGUAUUACUGCUGUAAGAAAGAAGAGCUCCGUGAGGAGGCAGAGGAGGUUCCAGGUCACGGGACUCACUCCCACUUUCCUUGCCAUGACUGUUCUUCUGCUCACCUGGACAGUAUGCCCCAUACUAAAGUGCCACCGGCCUAUUCCCCAUAUGGGUCUCCAUUCUACAUACGAACUGCAGAUAGCAUGUGCAAUGGCAGAGAGAUACCUCCCUGCACCCCCACCCACUGCACAGAGCCAGGGACCUUGCUUAUGAUGGCGGCUACACCAAGCUUAUCUAGAGGGUUGCAUGCUCUGAGCACCCAGGUAUGAAAGAGGAAGAGCAUAUGGAUCUGAAAAACUUUGAACUUCUAAGCUAUGUCACUGCCAAGGAAAGCACUGUAUUGCCCACUCCCUCUAAAGAAUGCUAUUGAAUUUAGAAUUGGAAGUUGGAGGUAGAGAAAUGAGAAAUGUUAUCAACAGUUCCAGUGCAUAAGUUACAGAAACAUAAGAAAAGGGGAUUCAAACUGAUUUCAGGGUAGGAGGGUACUUCUGUAUUCAUUGGCAUCUCUUGUACAGAAUCACUUUGGAGCUGACAAGUUUUUCAUGUUUUUGAGCUCUUCUCCCAAAUGUUAUCUGGCUGCAGCCAUUUUACUGUCACUCUGGAGUAAGGUGGCAUUUAUCUUCUUUGCUGUUACUAACUGGCAGACAUCAGGUUUCCUACUACUCGGAGAAACCAUAGGUCGGCAUUCGAACAUCACAGACAGACUAUCCUCCCAUGUGCACUGGUUACUGAUUGCAAAUGUAAUGCUUAUUUUCAUAUGAAUCAGUAUUUUUGUGUAAUACUUUAGGUUUUAUUCCCAUGAGUGUUUAAACAUGAAGUGCAGUUUCACUUGGUCCCCAGCCCAGCUACCCAAGUAUAGGUCUGUACCAAGAGGAACAGAGACCAAUGGCAAAAUGUAGAAAAUAAACUUAUUCAGCUUUGAUCUCUGGGCAAAAUGACAAUAGUUACUUGUUAAUCUCUUUAGACACUUCUUGUAUAACAUCCAUACAUAUUAGCUUCUCUCUUUUUCCCCUUGGUUGGUCAUUUUCUGCAUAUUUAAUUGUGUGGACUCCUACUCUCAACCUCAAAUUAUUAUGGUUAUUGAACAUACAGUAUACUGAAUACACAGUACAUUACGCUCACAAACCUUGUAUAGUAGAAAACUCAUCCAAUAAACUUUGCUGAACACAAAGAAGAAAUUGUGUUGCACAUGUAACUGCACCGUAUGGUGACUGCAUGUUUAGGCAUUGUGGAUACAGAGCCUAUAAUGUGAUGAAUUUUGAAUAAUGAAGAUUUAGGGAGGUUUAGCUUCUCCCACAAAAAGAGACUAACGCAUCUAUAUUCAAAUAUAAGUUCUCCAACUGAAAACCUUUUAUUGGUAGUCUCUUAAACAUACAUUCUACCUUCCUUCCC